CAUUACCGAGUUUACAACUCCCAAACCCCUGUGAACAUACCAAUUGUUGCCUCGGCGGAUCAGCCCGCUCCCGGUAAAACGGGACGGCCCGCCAGAGGACCCCCAAACUCUGUUUCUAUAUGUAACUUCUGAGUAAAACCAUAAAUAAAUCAAAACUUUCAACAACGGAUCUCUUGGUUCUGGCAUCGAUGAAGAACGCAGCAAAAUGCGAUAAGUAAUGUGAAUUGCAGAAUUCAGUGAAUCAUCGAAUCUUUGAACGCACAUUGCGCCCGCCAGUAUUCUGGCGGGCAUGCCUGUUCGAGCGUCAUUUCAACCCUCAAGCCCAGCUUGGUGUUGGGACUCGCGAGUCAAAUCGCGUUCCCCAAAUUGAUUGGCGGUCACGUCGAGCUUCCAUAGCGUAGUAGUAAAACCCUCGUUACUGGUAAUCGUCGCGGCCACGCCGUUAAACCCCAACUUCUGAAUGUUGACCUCGGAUCAGGUAGGAAUACCCGCUGAACUUAAGCAUAUCAAUAAGCGGAGGAAAAGAAACCAACAGGGAUUGCCCUAGUAACGGCGAGUGAAGCGGCAACAGCUCAAAUUUGAAAUCUGGCUCUCGGGCCCGAGUUGUAAUUUGUAGAGGAUACUUUUGAUGCGGUGCCUUCCGAGUUCCCUGGAACGGGACGCCAUAGAGGGUGAGAGCCCCGUCUGGUUGGAUGCCAAAUCUCUGUAAAGUUCCUUCGACGAGUCGAGUAGUUUGGGAAUGCUGCUCUAAAUGGGAGGUAUAUGUCUUCUAAAGCUAAAUACCGGCCAGAGACCGAUAGCGCACAAGUAGAGUGAUCGAAAGAUGAAAAGCACUUUGAAAAGAGAGUUAAAAAGUACGUGAAAUUGUUGAAAGGGAAGCGUUUAUGACCAGACUUGGGCUUGGUUAAUCAUCUGGGGUUCUCCCCAGUGCACUUUUCCAGUCCAGGCCAGCAUCAGUUUUCCCCGGGGGAUAAAGACUUCGGGAAUGUGGCUCUCUUCGGGGAGUGUUAUAGCCCGUUGUGUAAUACCCUGGGGGGGACUGAGG
RNAcentral lists this ribosomal RNA (1045 nucleotides) under Fusarium subglutinans. Its description in RNAcentral is "eukaryotic LSU rRNA". The stretch from base 465 to 1045 matches the Rfam family "Eukaryotic large subunit ribosomal RNA", at positions 1 to 593 of the family's 3401-position model. The record is from RNAcentral. Lineage: Eukaryota; Fungi; Ascomycota; Sordariomycetes; Hypocreales; Nectriaceae.